Molecule: long non-coding RNA, 500 nt
Filed under: Jatropha curcas
Lineage: Eukaryota; Viridiplantae; Streptophyta; Magnoliopsida; Malpighiales; Euphorbiaceae
Description: long non-coding RNA (JCUR_LNC000925)
Source: RNAcentral
UUAAAACAUUCAAUUUAACCAAUUUCAUCCAAUUAACUAAAAAUCCAAAAAUUUCAUCAAGAAUCCUAGAAAAUCAAAAAUGAGAAAUUGAAAGAGGAGAAGGCAAAUUGAGCACAGACCUUAAAUAAACAACCUCCGAGAUGCUAGAUAUCCCCUUAAUUCAAACGUUUGCUUUACCUUUAUCCAAUUUUGAGGGUUCCCCAAUUUCUAGCCAAAGGAAAGAAAAUAAACACAAAACAUUAAACAAAUAAAGUAUGAAAAACAUGCAUGGAGAAGAAGAUAUCAAAACCCUAAACAAUUUCUAAGAAUCUAACUAAAAAUCUCAAAUUUCUACUUACUUAAACUGUCGCUAAAUCUUUUUCUUGGAAGAACACAACUCAAAUCUUCAAAGACAAGCUUUAAUCUUCAUGAUAAAUGAUUAAUUUCAUGGGAUUUCAUCUAACUUUUGGUGUCUCCUUUGAAGGAUUUAAAAAGAAAAUGAGAGGAGAAGGGAGAGAGAU